AAAAGAACUAACAAGGAUUCCCCUAGUAACGGCGAGUGAAGCGGGAUGAGCUCAAAUUUAAAAUCUGGCUGGUUUACUAGUCCGAAUUGUAGUUUAUAGAAGCGUUUUCGGUGGCAGCCUGGGUAUAAAUCCUUUGGAAUAGGGUAUCAUAGAGGGUGAGAAUCCCGUCUUUGACUCAGUGCAUGCUACUAUGUGAUACGUUUUCAAAGAGUCGAGUUGUUUGGGAAUGCAGCUCAAAAUGGGUGGUAAAUUUCAUCUAAAGCUAAAUAUUGGCGAGAGACCGAUAGCGAACAAGUACCGUGAGGGAAAGAUGAAAAGAACUUUGAAAAGAGAGUUAAACAGUGCGUGAAAUUGUUGAAAGGGAAACGUUUGACACCAGUUAUGCGGGUGGAAAAUCAGUCUUUUGCAGUGGGGAGUUGUGGGCGUUCAGACCGCAAGGCUGGCGUUUGCUUCAUCUUUGUUGUAAGUGAUGCACUUUUUCAUUUGCAGGUCAACAUCAGUUUGCUCUGCUGGACAAAACUCCAAGGGAAGGUGGCAGCUUAGGCUGUGUUAUAGCCCUGGAGCGAUACAGUGGGGUGGACUGAGGUUUCGCAGUGUGUGCUUUCGGGCAAGGCUGACUGGGUGCUAUGGGAUCGUUCGGCGUACAAUGCAUGCAUUUUGCGUCGUGUCUUUUUCAUACUCGCUCAACUCGGCUCUUCCACGCUUA
This 706-nucleotide ribosomal RNA is filed under the name Linnemannia zychae. RNAcentral describes it as "eukaryotic LSU rRNA". It matches the Rfam family "Eukaryotic large subunit ribosomal RNA", at positions 57 to 615 of the family's 3401-position model. Lineage: Eukaryota; Fungi; Mortierellomycota; Mortierellomycetes; Mortierellales; Mortierellaceae. The record is from RNAcentral.